CCUCUAUAAUUUUUUUAUUUUUUAGAGCUCACAAAAGAUAAUCGCAGAUGCGAAUGAGAUUUUUUUCUGAGAUUUUUCCUGAUUAAGCUCAAAAAAUAUUAGCCCCAAGUCUCCAUAGAGCCUUUUUUUUUUUGUUUCCUUUUUAUUUUCCUGGUUAUGCACAAAGAAGAAAAUACCCAAAUUUUGAUGUGGGUUUUCUGUUUAUUGAGAAGCACUAUUUGGGGCUCGAGAGUUUGAUUAAUUUAAUUUUGUGUCUAUUAUGUAUUUUUUUUUGGGUUUUAGGUGUUUGAUUAAUUGAUCAUUGUUGCUGUCGUUGAUGAUGUUGUUUUUGUGGUGUGUCAUUGAACUAAUUUUCAUUUGGUUUUAUGCAUUCAUAAAACCAGUAUUCUUUCAUUCUUUUUAUUUUUGUUUAUUGAUGAAAGCUUAUUUAGGAGGUUGUAUUAUGCAGUAGGAUUUGAUAAACUAUUAUGCAGUACGAUUUCAUUGCCUUCACUUUACUUGUUUGUUGUCAUGCUACCAUCAUGUAUGGCUUUUUGUAUUGCUAUUCUUUUUUCAUUUCUUUUUUUUAUGCUUAAAUAGUUACAAUCUCUGUGAGUUUUGGUUCUUUUUCUGGGAUGAUGUUUUCUUUGAUUGUGUCGUUAUAUAUUGCUCGUUUUCAAUUAUUUUUUACUUGCUCGAGGGUCUGUCAAUUAUGCCGGACAUGUUUUGUUGUUUUGUGAAAGUUAUAACCAUUUCACAUUGGAUUUAGUCUGAGAAAAGAUAAAAGAAAAGGUUUGUAUCAUUUUCUUUGUAUCUCAAGCUAUUAGCUUAUAGAGAGUCUGCUGCCAAAUGGUGGGUGAACAUGUACAGAGCCAACUAAAUUUGAUUCUAAUCCUCCAACUAAACCUAAGCCACAUUGCACAAAAGAAAAAAUUCAAGCUACCAAAAAGUUGAGGAAAACCAUCUCAUUAGUUACAUAUUCCAUUGGGAAAGUUUCACAGAUGAGUGGUUUUCAAUGCAAUACUAACUGCUCCAUAGGAUUGCUACCAUUGGCAAAGGUUGAAUACAUGGUGGAAUCAAAAGUCAUACCACCAAAAAUGGCACUCCAUUAACAGUUGCUUAAAUGAGUACAUCAUAGGCCGUAUUGUUCAUAGGAUGUAAGCAAUUCCAUUGUGGCAUGUUGAGUUCUCUUAGGCAAUUUGGUUCUCUAUAUUCUUAUUUAUGUCUGUUGAUUUCUCGUAACAUACAAAUUACAGAAGUAUUGUGAUUGGGAACAAAUAUUUUUGCAUUCAGCAAUUAAAAUGUCAUCCGCUUCCACAUUUAGGAAGCUUGGUUUUCUUUAACAAUUGUUGAGAUGAGGCUUUAUGUUUAUUUUCUCUGUAAUUUGAUAUGAAGUCAAUGGAGUAGCAGGAAUAUGAACUUAUGUCGCUGUUAAGUCUACUGUUUAGACAAUUGUAUUUCGGGGGAAUACGUUGCUAUCUUGAAAGGCCAUAUGUAUUUAGAGUAAUAGUCAAUGGAUAUUGGUAUGUGAUUGUUUUUUGGUGGUUAAUGUGGAUGUUUAUGUGAUUGAGUUUUGGUGGUUAAUGUAGAUGUCUGUGUGAUUGAUUUUUGGUGGUUAAUGUGGAUGUCUAUGUGAUUGAUUUUUGGUGGUUAAUGUAGAUGUUUAUGUGAUUGAACGGUUAAUGUAGAUGUUUAUGUGCCCACACAUCAGUAAGUUCAAUAGGCAAUUUCUUUUCUAGAAGAAAUAAGAGUCCAAUAUUUUUCUGAUUUGUGAGUACUCCAAUAUCCAAUAACCAGCCAUGGCCUUUGAAACCAUGGACAUUCCAUGAUAGCACUGACAUAUAUACAUUAAGAAUUUAAAGACUUGUCGAGAGUAUUUGAAUUUUAGGAAAUAAGGAACCUUUCUUUCCUUGAGCUCUUAGGCCAUUUGUUGGUUAUUAGCAUCAGGUAUUCCCCACUUUAUUGCAAUCUUGGCCACUAAAAUUUUCUCUUAUAACUUCACGAGGCCAGCUUCCAGGCAUUGAGCCUUUGUAUUCUUGCCUGACUUUGAUUAAAGGGAUAUGAAUUCAAAUGGGGAGAGAAAGUGUGUUCAUAUGCAUGUUUAUAUCCUUGGUACAUCGUAUCCCUGAGAAAGUGUGUUCAUUUCAGACAGAUAUGCAUGUUUAUGUCCUUCCUACAUUGUAUCAUAUAUGUCCAAGCAAUCAUAACUUGAAAUUUUCAGCCACUUGUGAGGAAAACAUUGGAAUUUUCAGUUUCUAGUUUCCCGUUAUAGAAUAUUUUUUUAAAGUUUUUGACACAACUCAUUUGAGAGAGCUGAUACCCAGGAAGUUUUCUAAAAUUCUCAUGUAACGUAGGGAUCAAUGUUUGACAUUACCAUAUAACAGAAGCUUACUACUAGUUUGACUCUAGAAUCUGAGUGGAAUCGACUGAAGCAAGUCAACUCAACUCGGCUCAACUUUCCAAACAAUAUCUUGAAAACAUAGAUGCUUCAAUUUCUCCAAAAAUUUUAACUGUGUUAAUGUUUGGAUUAUUUUUACAAAGUUUUGAUGCUGAUUUUUUUCUUGGCAUUUUCCAUUGGAUCUCUAUCGUUAUCUUAUGUGGCUGAGUUGUUAGACAAAGAAUUACAGUACACAGUUAUGGUUAUCACAAGAAUGCAAACAAUGCUUCCAUGGAGAAAACUUUGAAUAAGGAAAGGAAUAUCAUUAAGAAAUUACUUCAUUUUGGUGUUUAACCAAACCAAGCCCCAGGGACUUACCUAUAGCUUGAAUACUCUCCAUAGUUGAUACUGUAUCUGUUUUUGUGUUUGUAGUGGCAUGAAAUGCUAUCAUCGUCUCUAUUUUCUUGUUCAUGCCCUAAUGGAAAUGGGCUUUCUUGAACGCAACAAAAUAAAUUAGGUUAAUAGGGAAAUAAGAGUGUUGGGGUUUGUGGCUUUUAAAGGCCGUGAGAGCUUAUAUAUAUCAUUUAUAGUGCAUUAUGCAAUUUAGUGGGAGUGUGAGUGUAACUGACCAAAUUUGAUUCAUUUAUAGUGCAUUAUGCAAUCAUCUCUUGUACAUUUACCUUUUGUACAAGGUGGUCACUAUUAAUCUUGAUCAUUGGAUGUAAAAUGAGGUGGCGACAUUUAUUUCGUUGACCAAGCUCAAAGUUUAAAAGAAAUUUUCUCGAACUUUGUGACACACUCAAGCUAUCAGAUUUCACAUAGGAUGGUUGUAAGUAAUUGUGACCUCCCUAUACCAAAGGUAAAUGGUCUCAUUGUAUGCAAUCCCAUCUUUUAAAUGUAAUAUGUGACCUUUUUUUUUUUGGUAGGAGUGACCAAAAAUAUUAGUUUGACUUUCCACCAUUACUGACAAAUAACGAAGUUCUAGGUGUUUAAAUUGGUUUUAUCCUAAUUAGACUAGAAAUGGAUUUGGGUAUGCCUCCCUAAAUUAUAAUGGCUGAUUUGUGGGAUAGAUUGCUCAAAGUUUUUCUCUCACCUCACAGAUUUCCUAAAUUCCUAGUUGAUCAAGGUUAAUCAUUAAAUAGGCAUUACCUAGGGGGUCUUGAGACUUGUAUAAGGAGGUGAGCCCCCCUCCUCAUAAGACACAAUUGGAGCCUCUGUCUCCUUUCUCUCCUCCACGCCCCAAAUUCUCUCUCUAACAUCUCUAGUUAUUAUCUCUCUCCUCCCUCUCUCUCUAGGUGGCAUGCCACCCUAUAAUAAAUUUAAAGGGGGUAGCAUGCGAACCCUAAUAAGGUUACAUUGUAGAGAGGGGCACCUAGCCUAGAAAGGGAGGUGCCUUUGAGGCAUGCCCUAAUAUGUUCCUAAGGAGUUCUAACCAAAUCCUAAUUGUCUUUUAUGCUCUCUAAAACCCUAGUUUAUGAAGUAUUGCUUAUAGAAGCUUCUCGGCUUUGAAAAUUCAGCAAGACCAUCAGGAUCGAAGUGUGCUAUUCGUCAGAAAAUCGAGUGUGGGGUGUACUAAGUCCUAUGAGGUUGACCUUGAGCAUAAUCCAGUAAGUCUUUCCAGCUAUUUAGUUAUUUUUUAGUCUUAGCUGCUUGGUUAUUCUGAUUUUUCUGGAACAUUAUUUGUACUUAAAUUGAUACAUAGAAGUUUGGUUUUUGGUGGUAAAAAGAAAGGUUUUGGGUUAUAUUUAGGGUUUUAUUUUUUGUUUACAGCAGUAUAUUGUAACACUUGUACAUGGAAUUCGGAUUUAAUAAUAAAGAAAAUUAAUAAUUUUAUUUUUGUUUUAUAGUCUCGAAUUCCACACAUCCACACCUUUCAAAGAGGGGGAGAUUUUCAAUUUAUUUUUAGGUGCUGGUUAUGGGGAUCACCUAAACUGGCACACAUCCUCACAUUCUGGAUUAGUGAUUGUGUAAACUGCAAGUAUCCAAUCUGUUUUGAGUUUAAAUAACACAAAAUUGCUUCAAAUUCCUUUUGCUGGUUAUCUCAGGAAAACGCAAAGGAUUUUCUAGCUAUUAGUUUUUCUUCUUACACAAAAAUAAAUUAAAAAUUAUACAUCAGAAAUUUCUCGUUAUGGCUACCCCUUUUCCAUUACUAUGGCCCUUUUCAUGAGGGGGAGUGUUAACUCCUGGCUAGUCAUCUAUAUUUCCUAGUUGCAUUUCCCAUGCGUCUCAAUUGGUAAUGUUUAUUUUUCAUGUGCUUGACGAAACUUUCUCCUUGAUCAAGUGGCUAACAGGACCUUGUUAUCUAUAGAUUAGUUCACUGCAUGCUAGAAAUUUUGUUUUUCCUCUUCAAGACUAAUCCCAUUUCCUUCUCCUUGAAGUAUGUGGGUAAUGGGGUGCAUGAGAGACUUCAUAUGCCCAUGAUGCUAGAAUUUGUGGACUCGUUCUGGCGGUUUCUAGGCAUGUGUGAGAUUUGUUGUGUGAAAGGAAAGUAUAUAUUGUAUAUCCGGUUAAUGAUAAUGGAGGGAUUCAAACCCUCACCAUGACAGACAAUAAGCAUGCACACUACCCAGCGCACGACUUGAGUGUUCCGUAUGUUUUGUUGGUUUUGUUUUGUGAUCUUUGUGUUCUUCAUGUGAAGUAAAUAAAAACAUGCAAAUGGCUUGAAAAUGAAGUUUUUGUGUGUAUCACUAUUUUUAGUGAAUUCUCUAGUAUAUAUAUGGGAUACCCAGCUAAAGUAGAUAUGUAUAUUCCAGAAAGAAAAGCAGAAAAUGACUACUAAUCUGAAUGUGUGUGUUCAGUAAGUUUAGUUGUUGAUGGAUUAGAUAUGGGUACACUAACUUCAUGCAGGAAAUUGAAUGAGGUUUGUUGUUGCGGCAACACAAUCCAGAGCCUGUUGUCAAUAUGGUGAGGCAGCAGUUCAAGAAAAAUAUGCACAAGACUGAUCCAGAGAAGAUCUAAAAGAUGAAGGAUGACACGGCGAGUGGCCUAAUCAAUCAUAUCCCUUAUGAAUCAGACAAGCUUACAGGGCGUAAAUUCACAAGCUCUUGAUGUUUUGUAAUGCUAGGGCUGGCGAUGAAUGAUUUUCACAAAAUUUUGUAUCCUCUUUGCUAGUGAGAUGACUUUAGAAAAAGUACUAUUUUUUGUCA
Amborella trichopoda is the source of this 5502-nucleotide long non-coding RNA. RefSeq lists it as uncharacterized. Lineage: Eukaryota; Viridiplantae; Streptophyta; Magnoliopsida; Amborellales; Amborellaceae. The record is from RefSeq and is a predicted model, not a curated record.